CCCUUAGAUGUUCUGGGCCGCACGCGCGCUACACUGAUGCAUUCAACGAGCCUAUCCUUGACCGACAGGUCCGGGUAAUCUUUGAAUCUGCAUCGUGACGGGGAUAGAUUAUUGCAAUUAUUAAUCUUCAACGAGGAAUGCCUAGUAGGCGCAAGUCAUCAGCUUGCGUCGAUUACGUCCCCGCCCUUUGUACACACCGCCCGUCGCUCCUACCGAUUGUGUGUGCUGGUGAAAUGUUCGGAUCGGCCGUUUGUCGCGGUUUCCGCGUCAUGUGGCUGAGAAGUUCAUUAAACCCUCCCACCUAGAGGAAGGAGAAGUCGUAACA
RNAcentral lists this ribosomal RNA (325 nucleotides) under uncultured eukaryote. RNAcentral describes it as "partial 18S ribosomal RNA". It matches the Rfam family "Eukaryotic small subunit ribosomal RNA", at positions 1470 to 1796 of the family's 1831-position model. The record is from RNAcentral.